AUGGCGCUGGUGUCCAACCCCGGCGAUCCGGCUCUCCGGAUCUACGGGCCGAACAUCUAUUCUGGGUACCCCUCGCCCGAGGAAGACUCCGAGUCCAGGUCUUACCUGCUGCACAAGAUCGGCUCCUUCUACCGCAAGGCGCGGAGGCGGCUCGCGUGCCGCCGCCGCCUGCAGGCGCACGGCCUCUGCGUCGGCCUCCUCGACCCGGUCUCUAACGUCGUCGUCAACAGUAGCAUCGUCCACCACUCUCGCAAGCGCGAGCGGUGGCGCGACCGCGAGGAUGCGCCGCAGGAGGACCUGGAGCGCCGCUCGCUCGACGGCCUGGUGGUCUUCCUCACCCGCCUGUUCCCCAACCUUGCGGAGGGCCUGGCCGUGCGCUACCUGCGCCUCGCCAAGGCCGACGCCCUCAUCGCCGCCUGCGCCGUCGCGUCGGACCACGGCAUCAAGUGGUUCCACGACUGCGAGGCCGCGCCUGCCCUCAUCAACACGGCCCUCAAGUGCGCCGGACUGGCCGCCGGGCACCCCGACGCCGACCGCCUCGUCCACGCCUGGCGCAACGUCUCUAGCCGCGUUGACGACGCCCUGAGCCUGCUCGACUUGCUCCGCGAAUCACAAUCCCAACGCCGCCGCUCGCACGUCGUCAGGGAUCUCGCCUCCAUGGUCAACGAGGGACCGCCGCAGGCCCGUGAAGUAGCCGUGCGGUGCGCGUGGCAGCUCGCGGAAGCUUCCCUUCGCCGUCAUCCCCGGAGCAUGCCGCAACCGGACAAUGACCUGCCCAACCGGACGCUGCAGGACACGAUCCACGGGUUCUACCUCGAGGCCCUCGCGCGGCUGCCGGCGGGCCCUGGCUUCCACCGCAGCCUGGUCAUGGCCGGCCACUGCUACGGCCCUCUCGACCCCGUCUCCAACAUCAUCGUCAACACCGUCUGGCACCACUCCGCGUUCCCGCCUUCCAUGAAGCUCUAG
Molecule: ribosomal RNA, 966 nt
Filed under: Triticum aestivum (bread wheat)
Lineage: Eukaryota; Viridiplantae; Streptophyta; Magnoliopsida; Poales; Poaceae
Description: partial small subunit ribosomal RNA
Source: RNAcentral